Molecule: ribosomal RNA, 2056 nt
Filed under: human metagenome
Description: bacterial LSU rRNA
Rfam family: Bacterial large subunit ribosomal RNA
Source: RNAcentral
GCAAGAUACCACGGGCGCACGGCGGAUGCCUUGGCACAGGGAGCCGAUGAAGGACGCGGCAAGCUGCGAUAAUCCCCGGCGAGGAGCACACAUCCUUCGACCCGGGGGUCUCCGAAUGGGCGAACCCAUGCACAGCAGUGUGCAUAUCCCCCCGCUGAACACAUAGGCGGGGGGAGGACAACCCGGGGAACUGAAACAUCUAAGUACCCGGAGGAGAGGAAAUCAAUCUCGAGACUCCCCGAGUAGCGGCGAGCGAAAGGGGACCGAUGGCCAAACCGUCGAGCGGGCAUACCCGGCAGGGGUUCCGCCGACGGGGUUGCAGGGCCGCGCAUCCGGGGGCUGCCGCCCCCGGGCGCAGGUCCGGCUGGGGAGCGGAACGGCAUGGGAGGGCCGGCCGCAGCGGGUGACAGCCCCGUACGCGAACCCAGACCGGACGGCGCGACGCGGUCCCUGAGUAGGGCCGGGCACGUGAAACCCGGUCCGAACCUGGGUGGACCACCAUCCAAGCCUGAGUACUACCCUGUGACCGAUAGCGCACCAGUACCGUGAGGGAAAGGUGAAAAGCACCCCGGGAGGGGAGUGAAACAGUACCUGAAACCGUGCGCCCACGAGCAGUCGGAGCAACUUUAUGUUGUGACGGCGUGCCUUUUGUAGAAUGAGCCAGCGAGUCGCUGGCGCGGGGCGAGGUUAACCGAAAGGGAGCCGGAGCGAAAGCGAGCCUUAACAGGGCGACUUGAGUCCCGCGCCGCGGACGCGAAGCCGGGUGAGCUAUCCGUGGGCAGGCUGAAGCGGGGGUAAGACCCCGUGGAGGGCCGAACGCACGUCGGUUGAAAACGGCGGCGAUGACCUGCGGAUAGGGGUGAAAGGCCAAUCAAACCCGGAGAUAUCUCGUUCUCCCCGAAAUAGCUUUAGGGCUAGCGUCGCGCGUUCACCGCCGGAGGUAGAGCACCGGAUGGACGAGGGGGCUUCGCCGCCUACCGAAUCCAACCGAACUCCGAAUGCCGGCGGCCCAGAGCGCGGCAGUCAGAGCAUGUGGGCUAAGCUGUGUGCUCGAGAGGGAAACAGCCCGGACCGCCCGCUAAGGUCCCCAAGUUCCAGCCGAGUGGCAAAGGAUGUGCGUCCGCCCAGACAACCAGGAUGUUGGCUUAGAAGCAGCCAUCCAUUCAAAGAGUGCGUAACAGCUCACUGGUCGAGUGGACAUGCGCCGACAAUACACGGGGCUAAGCUGGACACCGAAGCGGCGGGAUUUUAAUUCAUUAGAAUCGGUAGGGGAGCUUCCCAUGGGCGGAGAAGCCGGAGGGCGACCGACGGUGGAGCGCAUGGGAGUGAGAAUGCUGGCAUGAGUAGCGAGAGACGAGAGAGUAACUCGUCCGCCGUGAACCCGAGGUUUCCUGGGCAAGGCUAAUCCUCCCAGGGUCAGUCGGGGGCUAAGGCGAGGCCGGUAGGCGUAGCCGACGCGCAGCAGGCAGACAUUCCUGCACCGCGCACGCGGCGCUACGACCGACGGGGCGACGGAUGGGGGUGGCUCGGCGGGGUUCUGGACGUCCCCGUGAUGGAGCGCGGCCCGCGGACCAGGGAAAUCCGGUCCGCAGAAGGGCGAGGCUCCGGACGAAGCGACUGAGCGAAGCGAGUGAGCCCGAGGUCCCUAGAAAAACCCCUAGGCAGGCGCGUGCGCGCCCGUACCGCAAACCGACACAGGUGGGUGGGUAGAACAUACCGAGGCGAUCGGGUCAACCAUGGUCAAGGAACUCGGCACAAUGGCCCCGUAACUUCGGGAGAAGGGGUGCCCGCGCGUACGUGAACGGACUUGCUCCGGGAGCGGAGGCGGGCCGCAGUGGAGAGGCCCAAGCGACUGUUUACCAAAAACACAGGACUCUGCAGAAGCCGCAAGGCGACGUAUAGGGUCUGACGCCUGCCCGGUGCCGGAAGGUCACGCGGAGGAGUUAGCCGAUUCGGCGAAGCCCCGAAGCCAAGCCCCGGUAAACGGCGGCCGUAACUAUAACGGUCCUAAGGUAGCGAAAUUCCUUGUCGGGUAAGUUCCGACCUGCACGAAUGG